AGCGAACGCUGGCGGCAGGCUUAACACAUGCAAGUCGAGCGGGCACUUUCGGGUGUCAGCGGCGGACGGGUGAGUAACGCGUGGGAACGUGCCCUCUGGUUCGGAAUAACUCAGGGAAACUUGAGCUAAUACCGGAUACGCCCUUUUGGGGAAAGGCUUGCUGCCGGAGGAUCGGCCCGCGUCUGAUUAGCUAGUUGGUGAGGUAACGGCUCACCAAGGCGACGAUCAGUAGCUGGUCUGAGAGGAUGAUCAGCCACACUGGGACUGAGACACGGCCCAGACUCCUACGGGAGGCAGCAGUGGGGAAUAUUGGACAAUGGGCGCAAGCCUGAUGCAGCCAUGCCGCGUGAGUGAUCAAGGCCUUAGGGUUGUAAAGCUCUUUUAUCCGGGACGAUAAUGACGGUACCGGAGGAAUAAGCCCCGGCUAACUUCGUG
This 435-nucleotide ribosomal RNA is filed under the name uncultured bacterium. RNAcentral's name for it is "partial 16S ribosomal RNA". It matches the Rfam family "Bacterial small subunit ribosomal RNA", at positions 29 to 507 of the family's 1533-position model. The record is from RNAcentral.